GGGAAAAAGCAGUAGGCUAGCAAUUAAGUAUGUCAGAAACCUCAGUAAUCAUUAAUGAGUAGUCGAGGAGUUCCCGGAUGGCCUACUACUUCCGCCCAGAUUCUGAAGUGUUUCUCGAUAGAUACUUUUCUAUCCCAGGAGGCCACGGGAGAGGAUACGUCAUAAUCAAACACUUAGGAGAAAAGCGGCGCGGAUGCUGUCAAAUGGACAGAUGACGGGGACAGAUGAUCACACGUGUUUAUCCGGUAGAGGAAUGAUGCCAUCAAAGGCUUUGAAGCUUUGUGGAGCAGGACCUGCAAGAAAAGGUGAUGGUGGCAUUUGUUAGAAAAAAAAAAGAGGAAAACCUGAAACAAAAUAUAAAGAUGUGAAUGUCCUCAGACUGGUGAGAGCACUGAGGAUGGAGAGCCACACCAGAUCCUGGGAAUGGUCCAGUGUCAUGGACGAGAUCCUCCAUCACUCCUCCUUCCAAGUGUCUUGAUCAAGGACACACUGGAGGAGACGCUGCAGAGAUCGAACCAGCAAACCUUCUGCUGACCAGCUCAGUGGUUUAGCCCACCACACCACAAAUUCAUGCUGAUGGAGAACACAUGAAUGUUUGCAGCAGCCAGAUUGUCCCACUCAUCUUCUCCCACUCUUGCUUCAAGGUUGAGGGGUUCAGCGGUCCAUCAUCAUCAUCUUCCUCAUCCUCUGGAUCAACGAUGUCUCCAUUGAGAAGAGCAGCAGUGAGGGACAUGAUGAUGAAGGUGUUCAUCAGCUGCUUAUAUAAUAAAGCUGCAGAAUUGGCACAGCUGUGUUGAGAUGGCAGCAGGACUGUAAAUACCUGAUUGUUAGAUCAAUACAUUUGAAUAAAGUUU
Long non-coding RNA from Megalobrama amblycephala (Wuchang bream), 854 nucleotides. RefSeq lists it as uncharacterized. The transcript has 5 exons. Lineage: Eukaryota; Metazoa; Chordata; Actinopteri; Cypriniformes; Xenocyprididae. The record is from RefSeq and is a predicted model, not a curated record.